GCUGUUGAUGCAUUUGACUCACCCCUUACCCCUAGGCCUUCCCACGGCCGUGCUGGUGGAUAAAUGCGGCGCGGGGGACGACGCCUAAUCGCCGCCUCGCGUGUGCCGCGGCACGCCCGCCACUUGCUCAAUGCUCAUCCUCGCUCCUCGGCCCCGCGCCCAUUUCGGUUCGCCACCUGCUCAUCUCUAUUCUGCCCUGCGUCCGGUCUUCAUAUCACGUCAGAAAAAAAUGGAAUAGAAUUUUACCAAGAACAGACUUGAUCAGAAAAACUGGUAACAUGAAUUUCGAGGCUUAUAAGAGCGUUACUUCUUGAAGGGUAUUAGGACUGACCUUGUGAUGACUGCUUGAGUCUUCAACAUUGUUCUGUAUGGAUGAUUCUACAGAAGGUUCAGAAGUGAAGUCUGGUCCUUUGUUUUCUCCUAUCUCUUCAAUUUCUCUAGGAUUUAUACUUGUAUUGUCAUGGAUUAUUUCUUCGCAUAGAGAUGUUGUAUCAUCAAUUUUAGCAUCCACAUUGUAUGGUUCAUUGGAAUGCGGUUGAGGUGACUCUUCCUUUUCAGAAUUUGUCUGUAAUUUAUCAUGACAAAUAGCAUUGUCUUCAUGUAUUUCUUUACUUUCUUCUA
Zea mays is the source of this 621-nucleotide long non-coding RNA. RefSeq lists it as uncharacterized. The transcript has 2 exons. The record is from RefSeq and is a predicted model, not a curated record. NCBI's taxonomy places the organism in Eukaryota, Viridiplantae, Streptophyta, Magnoliopsida, Poales, Poaceae.